This 389-nucleotide ribosomal RNA is filed under the name uncultured bacterium. RNAcentral describes it as "bacterial SSU rRNA". It matches the Rfam family "Bacterial small subunit ribosomal RNA", at positions 30 to 417 of the family's 1533-position model. The record is from RNAcentral.
AUUGAACGCUGGCGGCAUGCCUUACACAUGCAAGUCGAACAGCAGCACGGGAGCUUGCUCCUGGUGGCGAGUGGCGAACGGGUGAGUAAUACAUCGGAACGUACCCUGAAGUGGGGGAUAACGUAGCGAAAGUUACGCUAAUACCGCAUAUUCUGUGAGCAGGAAAGAGGGGGAUCGCAAGACCUCUUGCUUUAGGAGCGGCCGAUGUCGGAUUAGCUAGUUGGUGAGGUAAAGGCUCACCAAGGCGACGAUCCGUAGCGGGUCUGAGAGGAUGAUCCGCCACACUGGGACUGAGACACGGCCCAGACUCCUACGGGAGGCAGCAGUGGGGAAUUUUGGACAAUGGGCGCAAGCCUGAUCCAGCCAUGCCGCGUGAGUGAAGAAGGCCU